AGUGAACGCUGGCGGUAGGCCUAACACAUGCAAGUCGAACGGCAGCACAGUAAGAGCUUGCUCUUACGGGUGGCGAGUGGCGGACGGGUGAGGAAUACAUCGGAAUCUACUUUUUCGUGGGGGAUAACGUAGGGAAACUUACGCUAAUACCGCAUACGACCUACGGGUGAAAGCAGGGGAUCUUCGGACCUUGCGCGAUUGAAUGAGCCGAUGUCGGAUUAGCUAGUUGGCGGGGUAAAGGCCCACCAAGGCGACGAUCCGUAGCUGGUCUGAGAGGAUGAUCAGCCACACUGGAACGGAGACACGGUCCAGACUCCUACGGGAGGCAGCAGUGGGGAAUAUUGGACAAUGGGCGCAAGCCUGAUCCAGCCAUACCGCGUGGGUGAAGAAGGCCUUCGGGUUGUAAAGCCCUUUUGUUGGGAAAGAAAAGCAGCAGGUUAAUACCCCGCUGUUCUGACGGUACCCAAAGAAUAAGCACCGGCUAACUU
Molecule: ribosomal RNA, 488 nt
Filed under: uncultured bacterium
Lineage: Bacteria
Description: partial 16S ribosomal RNA
Rfam family: Bacterial small subunit ribosomal RNA
Source: RNAcentral